Neofelis nebulosa (Clouded leopard) is the source of this 1810-nucleotide long non-coding RNA. RefSeq lists it as uncharacterized. Lineage: Eukaryota; Metazoa; Chordata; Mammalia; Carnivora; Felidae. The transcript has 2 exons. The record is from RefSeq and is a predicted model, not a curated record.
AUUACUAGAAUUAAAGUUUAAGAUUCUGACAUCCAGACAGGAUCUUGCACUCAGAAAGUUCUGGCCCACCACGAAAGUGGCCCACCAUGAAAGACAGCAAGGAAGAAGUAUAUCAGAGAGUGCUUUAUCUCCCUCCCCCAAGAAGCCUGCAAAGCAUCACAAUGCUUAUCUCUUCUAGGUGGACCUGGGACACUAAGAGUUCCAGAUUCCAAGAUGGUCCCAUGCCUCUGGCCCAGGAGAAAGGAGCUGUGCCAGAAGCCUGGGGUUUGAACAUUAACUGUCCUGCUAAAGCCUGCCAGCCAUGUGCUCUCCGUGCUCCCCAAGAACUAUUUUACUCUUUGCAAGGGGAAAGAAUUAAAGACUCCCUUUUCCGCAAAAAUACCAUAGAGGUGUUUAGCACAUACUCUUCCCCGGCUAUCCGUGCCACUGAGGCAAUCCCACCCUCCUGUCAGAGGGUGCCUGGCAAGAGGUCAGCAACAAAUGAGCCAGACCAGGAUUAUCAGGAUCCAGAUGUAGGUGUGAAGGCCAGGAAAGGCAAUCCAGCAGGGCGGGAAGCAUCUGGAAGAUCCAUGCCUCCCUCAAGGCUUCAGGGGAUGGAGGUCAUCCUGUCUGGUCUCAGGCAACAAAGCUCCAGCCAUGAGCUCCAAGGACCUGAUGCAGAACUGUCAGCCACAGCAGCACAAAGAAGAGCAAGACAGGACUUCAGCGACUGAGAGCAGAGAAAUACACCCGGGGGUGGAGAAACGGGAAGGUCCAUCCCAGGAGUAAGGCUUGGCCACAAGAUCAUGGACAUUGGAACUUCAGGGAACCUUAGAGAGUCCUUCAACUCUCUGGUUCUAGGGAUCAGUAAAUGGGCCUAGGAAGGUUGAAUGAAUUGCCAGAGGUCACAACACGAAGUAGGGAGGGAAACCCAGGAGUUCUGACUCCCCUUCCAGUGCUCUUUCCAUGGUACCACCUCAAGGCUUGGGAUUCUGCCACAUGUCUGGUCCUACUAUUAUGAAACAUCUACUUUAGGUGGGGCACUGUGAUAAACCUAAACUUGGGAAAAGCCCAGCUCUAGACUUCCAGUGUGAUUCACGAGAUUGUAGCCAUGUUGUGGGACACCCCAAGCGUACGUUCAGCUCUUUGGACUGGCUCUUAAACCUUGUCAGUUGUAAAGAUGACAACAAAUGUGACAGAGAAACACAAGAUUGAUUUUCUAUGUUGAGAGCUACUCCUAAUUUAUCCACUCUAUAAUUGCCAAUAUUCCAUACCUUGAAAGACAUCUAUUCUAGCAGCUCAAGGUACGAUCUUAACUCCCUCUUCCCCCCACUCACCUCUCCCUAACACACAGCCCUUGGACUGCAAGAGUUCAAUAGUCUUCCCAAGGUCACAGAGCGAGCCAAGGGCAGGACAGAUAGAGAACAUCACGUCUUGACUUUCCAGGUCUCCAGUGCUGAACCUCCUCUCAACACUACCUCACCUUGCACAGAUGUCUGUCAGCAGAGGAGAAAAGGUCAUGCAAGCAGAAACUUCAUAAGCCACCGGAAUAAAGCACACACGUGGGUCUCGUCCUUGGGGAGGCCCACUGCAGGCAGAUGGAGGUGCAAGAAGAGAGGUUCACGAAGCUAAGAGUGUCUCCAGGCCAGAUGGUACUGAUUUAACAAAGGGUCUGUUUGCAGUGACAGAGGAAGACCCCAAACUCUGCCCCUCCCAUCAUGCAAGCCUCCCUGCUCUUCUUUUAAUAGAAGCAUUUUCCCUGCCUUUCUCCCUUCCCUCCAAAAAACCUCACAAAUAUGUUGUGUGAAAUAUCAGAACUAAUUAGACCAAA